This 450-nucleotide ribosomal RNA is filed under the name uncultured bacterium. Its description in RNAcentral is "partial 16S ribosomal RNA". It matches the Rfam family "Bacterial small subunit ribosomal RNA", at positions 354 to 796 of the family's 1533-position model. The record is from RNAcentral.
GUGGGGAAUUUUGGACAAUGGGCGCAAGCCUGAUCCAGCAAUGCCGCGUGCAGGAAGAAGGCCUUCGGGUUGUAAACUGCUUUUGUACGGAACGAAACGGUCCUGGUUAAUACCUGGGGCUAAUGACGGUACCGUAAGAAUAAGCACCGGCUAACUACGUGCCAGCAGCCGCGGUAAUACGUAGGGUGCGAGCGUUAAUCGGAAUUACUGGGCGUAAAGCGUGCGCAGGCGGUGCUGUAAGACAGGCGUGAAAUCCCCGGGCUCAACCUGGGAAUUGCGCUUGUGACUGCAGUGCUGGAGUACGGCAGAGGGGGAUGGAAUUCCGCGUGUAGCAGUGAAAUGCGUAGAUAUGCGGAGGAACACCGAUGGCGAAGGCAAUCCCCUGGGCCUGCACUGACGCUCAUGCACGAAAGCGUGGGGAGCAAACAGGAUUAGAAACCCCAGUAGUCC